CCACGAACAUAAAACACUAAGUCACAAACCCCCCAAUAAACCUACGGGAAUCGGUUGCCUAAAACUGAUUGCCGUAACUCGCCGGAAGUCCCGUAAAUCGCACCGGGACUCCGUCGGGACCCACGAACUGUCCCGAAACUCACCGACUCGUGCUUCGAGUCACCCGCUGCCUCUAAACACAAUUAUUUGUGCGACAUGCAGCAAACACACCGCCUCACAUCGAACCGAUUAUCGUCAGAUAAUCGUUCCGAUCCGGGUUCCCAGAAGUGUCCAAUACGACACCGGAACCCACCGUCGCUCACCUGUCAUUUUCGAACUCUCGAAAU
This 326-nucleotide long non-coding RNA is filed under the name Ananas comosus (pineapple). RNAcentral describes it as "long non-coding RNA (ACOM_LNC012223)". The record is from RNAcentral. Lineage: Eukaryota; Viridiplantae; Streptophyta; Magnoliopsida; Poales; Bromeliaceae.